ACAUUAAGCUUCUAGGGUUCCGGCAGACCAUCGUUUGUGUCUGGUCCAAGAGAGGCUGGCUGUCAGAAGAUUUUACUGCUGCAGUUACACGGCGGGAAAAAAGCCCGGGAGAG
RNAcentral lists this small RNA (113 nucleotides) under Oscillatoriales cyanobacterium. RNAcentral's name for it is "Guanidine-I sequence". It matches the Rfam family "Guanidine-I riboswitch aptamer". Rfam says of the family: This family represents a conserved RNA structure found upstream of the ykkC and yxkD genes in Bacillus subtilis and related genes in other bacteria. The function of this family is unclear although it has been suggested that it may function to switch on efflux pumps and detoxification systems in response to harmful environmental molecules. RNAcentral also lists the same sequence under 1 other name. Lineage: Bacteria; Bacillati; Cyanobacteriota; Cyanophyceae; Oscillatoriales. The record is from RNAcentral.